RNAcentral lists this ribosomal RNA (253 nucleotides) under uncultured bacterium. RNAcentral's name for it is "partial 16S ribosomal RNA". It matches the Rfam family "Bacterial small subunit ribosomal RNA", at positions 524 to 776 of the family's 1533-position model. The record is from RNAcentral.
UACGGAGGGUGCGAGCGUUAUCCGGAUUCACUGGGUUUAAAGGGUGCGUAGGUGGGUUGGUAAGUCAGUGGUGAAAUCUCCAGGCUUAACUUGGAAACUGCCAUUGAUACUAUCAAUCUUGAAUACCGUGGAGGUCAGCGGAAUAUGUCAUGUAGCGGUGAAAUGCUUAGAUAUGACAUAGAACACCAAUUGCGAAGGCAGCUGGCUACACGAAUAUUGACACUGAUGCACGAAAGCGUGGGGAUCAAACAGG